CACGGCUAGUUUGCAGCGGGAAGGAUUUCUGUGGCUGUGUGGCUUGGUGAGCUCCUUUGUACCUGCUCUUCUUGUGUCACCCUUUGCCAUCAGCAAUUCCUAACAGCUCAGGGGUGUCCUGGCUGCUACUGAAGCUCUCCUGCUCGGACUGCUGCUGCAGCCUGAGCUGCCCUUCAUGUGGAUCGUGCUUCGACUGGAGUCAGCCUGCUCCUUGUGCUCUUCUGCAUUGGUUUCAUGGGUGCCAUCCAGAAGACAUGCUCGGCCACAAGUGGAGCAGAAGCCCCUGAGCAAUGUAGAGGCAAACGAAUGUGAUGUUGGUGAAAGGUCCUGGCCUGACCGCCCUGGGAAUUGAGCCCUGUGUAAGCCCUCAGCACAGAGGCAAAGGAUCCUGGCUACAGGCUGUUCUUCUCAUCCGGUUUCAAUGAUGGAAGAGGAAACAGAGUUUAUACAAAACCUAGCCCAGCCCCCAGAAACAUCUUGCUUUGUUUAUGUUCCGAGCUGAGCCUGCGACUCCGACUGUUUGGAAGAGCUAUCCAGACAUUUCUCCAUCUGACUGACUUCACAUCUAUUUCUCGGUCUCAUCGAGAGAUCUGGCUUUUAGCUCCCGCUCGUGACGUCCCACUUUUCUCUCUCUCUCGCUCUGCUCUCCAGCGUCUGAAAGAUCCAUGUAUAACGUGAUUAUGCAACCAUGCAAAUGGACACAGUUCUUUUCAUUUACUGCAAACCCCGCUUCGGGUCUUCUGUUAUGAAAAUAAAAUUGUUGGUGAGAGACACACUGUAGAAUGUAGCAGUAAGGGAGUUUUAUGUGGCUGGGUUUGAAUGCUUGAAGGUGGUAUUAGAGAUGGAAACAGACUAUUUGAAAUAAACUGGUGUGCCACCAUCUCUCCACA
Columba livia (rock pigeon) is the source of this 890-nucleotide long non-coding RNA. RefSeq lists it as uncharacterized. The record is from RefSeq and is a predicted model, not a curated record. The transcript has 2 exons. NCBI's taxonomy places the organism in Eukaryota, Metazoa, Chordata, Aves, Columbiformes, Columbidae.